Non-coding RNA from Pogona vitticeps (central bearded dragon), 356 nucleotides. Lineage: Eukaryota; Metazoa; Chordata; Lepidosauria; Squamata; Agamidae. The record is from RefSeq and is a predicted model, not a curated record.
AAAUACACAAGAACAAGCAAGGAUUUGAAAAGGGCAACUGCGGAUGGAGUCUUUUUUUUUUUCAUAACAGCAAAAGAGUUCAGUACAGUUGCCGCCCUUCCAGGUUGACUUUCAGCCGAUGUGCUUUGCAAACAGCUCCACUCUCUGGCGGGCUGGACAUCUGCUCUGAAAUGACCCAUGAUUUCAGGGUGCCUGCCACUUUAUUGUUACUACAUGCUGCUUACUCAUAAAUGCAACCCCAGUGUCUUAUUUUGUUUUUUUAUUUAAUUGGGUAAACUGACUUACGUUUCAUUGUUUUAACUGGGGAAAGCAAGAUGCAAGAGUCCAAAUAAAUAUUGCCUAUUACCGUGAUCACA